UUGUGUAUGAUUGGAAAAAUUUGAUCUCGUGCAGUGAGACCCCAAUAAUUAAAUGCGUUGUACUUUUGUUUAUUUUACAGAAUGAGUGCAGAAGGAACUAAUACAAAACUGCCCAGAAGAGCGCGAAACCCUCCGAAAAAGAUGAGUUUGUAUGAACCAGACCCCAGCUCCCCCAGAGAUAACCAAGAUGGACUUUUUGUAUUUUUGACCUUUGAAGAUGGAUACACAGCAAAGAUUUUUAAUCUCUGUGAUAUAUUAAACAAAGAUGAUAAACCCAUCGCUUGCUUUAGAUAUCUGACACCAGGACAAGAAGUACUUGCAAGAUGGUCUGACAAUAAGUUCUACAAAGCUACAGUAGACUUCACUGGAACAGCUGACAAAACGGUGGAUACCAAGAAGGCGACAAAGAAGGACAUGAAAAAAAGAGAUGCAGCUGCAAAAAGAUUCUACAACCUUCCAUUCCUACCUCAAGCAGGCCAGUCCACCUCUGCACAGGAUCACCUAAAUACUGUGGACCAAAAUGUCAUUCAGCCUCCAACAACCUGGCCAGUGUACCAGCCUCCACCUACAGAGUCAUUUCUACCUGUCCAGCCACAGCACCAGCAUGCAACUGCCUGGCCACAGUACCAACUUCCAGUUUCCCAGUUAUCACCAAAUACGCCACAACAUUACCAGCAUUCACCAGUCCAGUCGCUCAACCAGUAUGGAACUACUCUGUCUCCAAUUCCACACAAUUCCAGCCUUUUGCAGUAUUCAAAGCAUCACCAGACUCACACAGCACUACCCACACCUUCAGACCAAACACAACAGCAGCCUGUUUUGGCAGAUUUGGAUCAGCGAAGACAGCCACCAGCUCCUACAGCCAAAGAAAGCUUCCUCAAAAUGUUGCACAGUCCUAAUACACAUCAAAAACCUGCUGUUCUUGGGGACCAGAGCCAGACAAGCACCUCUGAACAUGAGACUUUAAGCUCAUCUGCAGAUACUUUAAUCAUCGAGCGUGAUCCAAUUCCAGAAUAUGGAGAACCAUGUUUCAUUUCGCCUGAGUCAGCAGAAGACAGAUCAUGGAAGCCAUGCGAAGCAUGCAAGACAGAGGUGGAAAAAUUAGUGGAGGAAAAGGCCAAACUGCAUGAUGUGUUGUGUGGUAUAAGUAAGUAUGUUUUGUCUCUCUGUUGCAAUUACUUGUUCUUUUAA
This is a long non-coding RNA of Cyprinus carpio carpio, 1191 nucleotides long. NCBI's taxonomy places the organism in Eukaryota, Metazoa, Chordata, Actinopteri, Cypriniformes, Cyprinidae. The record is from Ensembl.